CUUGUACACACCGCCCGUCACACCAUGGGAGUGGGUGAACCAGAAGUAGGUAGGCUAACCGCAAGGGGCCGCUUACCACGGUCUGCUUCAUGACUGGGGUG
RNAcentral lists this ribosomal RNA (101 nucleotides) under uncultured bacterium. Its description in RNAcentral is "partial 16S ribosomal RNA". It matches the Rfam family "Bacterial small subunit ribosomal RNA", at positions 1380 to 1482 of the family's 1533-position model. The record is from RNAcentral.